CUUUAGGUUUCCAAAACCUGAUGGAGGAAUUUGGUCACGUCUUCAUCUAUUGCAAGUGACAUUUGGGCUGCCCCAUCUGCAAAACACCUGAUGACGUCAUGAGCUGCUCUGGGAAACAUCUGGUCUUGAGAGUUUAUGUGACAGUUCUUCACUUUUCUGCCUGAAUCCUCCUGAUAAUAUUUAUGGGAAUCUUUCAGCCACUGUUUUGAACACGUGCAGAGGGAAUGGUUGUAAAUGAACAUCCAAGUUCUGCAAUGCAAACUGAAAAGCCAACUCAUCAAAUUCACAAUGUAAGAAAAUAUCCAGCCAACGUUACUGUCACUUCAAAUGGACUUUCAUCUAAAAAAAAUUACAUUUUCUUCUAAGCUAAAAACUUAUAUCUUCUUGUUACUAUCACAUUUUUAAUUUUCCUAUAAAGGUGAAGCUGAAAGAAGGAAAAACCCUUUUAAACUCUGAAUUUUUCUUUUUGAGUUACUUUUUUUCCCAUUGAAAACUUCAAAAAUUCAGAAGAGGCUGAAUACAUUAGGAAAAAAAUAGAAUUUAAAUUUGUUUUUCAGUCAUUUACAUUUUUUCAUCCAAUCUGUAUAAAUUGUUGAAGCCAAUGCUGUUGGUUCUUGCUCUUGUAUUUACUGGGCAGAGAACAGAGGAAUGGAAAGAUUGGUUUUACUGAACCUUCCAGUUUGGAACAUGGUCCUUGCAUAAAAAUGAAGAAUUCAUUGACAAUUUUACCAUCUAAAGUUAUCUUACUAAAAUCAAAUUCCUCCCUCAACCCCAAUUUUAGUUUUCUGCUUAAUCUGUGAGUUUAAUUUACAGCCUUGUGAUCUUGUUUUAUUUGAUUUCUUUUUCUCAACCUUGAGCUGGAGACUUUUGCUAAGUGAGGAAUGGAAAAGAUUCAGACAAAGGGACCUUCCUGUGACUCAAAAUAUGAAAUACCACCGCACUUCCUGUGUUAAAGAGAAUGUUUUCUUACAAAACCAUCGUGUGCAUUAUUAAAAGAGGAUCCACCGUCCUGGGCUAGGGAGAUACAGAAAUUUCCUGUCAGUUAUGGCAGUGCAGAGUAACCCAAAUGAAAAAUAAACCUUCUGAGAGCAUAAUUCAUCCUGGAUUCCGGGCUGCAGAACAAUAGAAAUUUAAUUACUUGCAUUUCACAGGCUGAGCAGAGGGAAUCCAGAAAAAUUAUGGCUCAAGGAUGUGGUUUGUCUCUUAAAAAAAUCACCUUUUUUAUGUGCAGUGUCUACAGCCGCGCUGUCGAGUCCAAAUGACUUUUCCUUCUCUGUUAGGCAGUGCUGCCCACCCAAAUUGUUUUUGUUUUAAGGAAGUUCCAGCUGUACCACAAACACUUUCCCUCUCCUUUUAGACUCCUUUCCAUCUCUUAAGGACUCAUUAUACAUAUGUGUUAAUUAAGCUAAUGGAAGUGGCUGGUGAAGGCAUCUUCCCUCUCUCAGGCACCCAGCAGCUCUGCAAAAUGAACAAUUCCUUGUUUGAAGGGGAGAGGAACCGAAGGGCACAGGGAUUUUAUGGCAAAGGCUUUUAAAUAGCUUUAUUAUAAAUACAGUUAGCUCCUGCAGAACACAUUUAAUCCAACUUGCACACAA
Molecule: long non-coding RNA, 1595 nt
Organism: Poecile atricapillus (Black-capped chickadee)
Lineage: Eukaryota; Metazoa; Chordata; Aves; Passeriformes; Paridae
Exons: 3
Source: RefSeq, a predicted model, not a curated record